Serinus canaria (Common canary) is the source of this 2218-nucleotide long non-coding RNA. RefSeq lists it as uncharacterized. The record is from RefSeq and is a predicted model, not a curated record. The transcript is spliced from 2 exons. Lineage: Eukaryota; Metazoa; Chordata; Aves; Passeriformes; Fringillidae.
GAGCGGCCGUGAGGGGCCGUGAGGGGCCGUGAGGGCGGGACCCGCCGGGGGCAGCCGGGGGAAGGUGCCGAGCGAGCCGAACUCCGCAGGCAGACAGUCCCUGCCAAGGGGGAAAGGCUGCGGGGCCGAGGAGUCCCUCAGCUGGAGCGUUUCCAGGCUGCAGAGCUCAGGGACAGCGCAGGUUCCUGAGGGGCAGGAGCUGCUGCCCCUCAGAGCUCGGGUGCUGUGACAGCGCUGGAGACGCGGCUGAGGAGCGGCCUCAAAAGCCCCAAAGGGGCUCCAAGAGCCAUGGAGAGAGACUUUGGACAAGGGCCUGGAGUGACAGGACACAGGGUGUCCAGCACUGCCCAGAUGCCUCAGGGUGACACAGGAGCGCUGGUUCAGGUUUCCAGACAGUGGCACCAGGUCAGGAGGGGGUGACCUGCUCUGGGAACGCGCCUGACUCCUGUGACAACAUCAUCCACAUACCAGAAGAAUGAAACAGUGACUGAAAACCUUCAUGAAGUGCCUGUGAGCAGGUUUGCACAGAUCACAGCUUUAUUUCGCAAGAAAAAGUUGGAACUUGGGUUUGAUCUUACCAAAGGAGCCUCGGUGACCUUAGCAGGUGUAAAUUCCCCUGUCUCAGCUUUGAAUAUUCAUUUUAGAGAAGUCAAAUGAUAAAAGAAGUGGGCAAAGUAUACCAAGGAGUAAACUGCUGCCAGUUCUGUCGGCAGGGAACUUUCUGUGCAGUGCAGAGGAGCUCUGGCUGUUCAAUCCUGACCAUCAUCCAGCAGCUUCCCCAGGAAAAACUGUGGGGUUGGGUUAAUUCAUAAAGAGUAAAAGAGAAAAGCUGAAAGGGGGAAAAGCCCAAGUUCAUAACUGCUUGAGGAAACCUCAACGAGACUCACAUUUCUGAGUGCAGCAGAACUCUAUGGAAACUUAAAUUUUGCUUCUGUGUAGAGCAAAAACCUGGGAAAUUCACUAUAACUCUUUUUCCUUUUGCAUAUUUCCCUUAUAAGUAGUAUUACAGUCAUCUAACCGAGGUGUUAGUCACUCUUUGGAAGGUUCAAUGCAGACUAAUUGAAAACAGGUAAUUAUUAUUGUUGUAAAGGUUGUUGCCAGGCACUUGCCACGUGCAGCUGUGGCUGCUGCAGCCUUUCCUCCCCAUCUGGGGCAGAAUUCCAACAUCACAGCAAAACUUUAGGAACUGAAGUUGCUCCCCACAUCCACAGAACUAAAUCCUUGCAGGAUCCAAUUUGGACAGGCUGUUUCUUUCAUCUCCUGAGGCAGUGCUGUGUUCCCAGCAUGGAUGAAAGGGAAUAUUUUCAGGAAUAAAAUCCCCUGGGAUUUCUGUAACCAUGGUAACACAUAUAGAUAGCAGGCCUGCUUCCAACCCAGGUUUUAUUGUUCCAGCAGUAAAGAUCUGGGUCCUACAAAUAACCAUCCUGGAAUAAAGUACUGCCCUUUUGCUUUCCCAUCAAAAUAAAAUUUGAAACAUUUAAUAUAUUGCUACAGUUGAACAUUCAGGAUAAAGUGCCAAGAUCAGCUCCAUCAAAUCUAACUGGGAUGUCUCAUUGCCUAAGCCACAGUGAGAAAGGGGAGAGUAUUCAGACACUUAAUGAAUACCAGGUAAAUAUGAAUAUUUUUGUAAUAAUAAAUUCAUAUUUCACUGCUGAAUAAAUACCAGAACUUAAGCCUGAAAUAAAAAUUAAAAAAUAGAAAGCAUCCCCAUCAAAUUUUCAUGUGUUUUAUUGAGGUGAACAUACACAUGGUCCACAUAGUCAAUGAAAAUAGUCAUAAAAUAAUUUAAGAACUUGUGUUGAAAGGUUUUAGCAGCACCAUUGGUAUUGGAAUAGCAGAAAACACAUCUCAGGAGGGCAGUGAUGCCUGGAUCAAAUGCCAUCAUUUGGAACAGGGAUGGGAAUGGCUUUGUGGGAUGCUCUGGGGAGUUGGGAGUUUUUAAAACACACUUUUUUUGCUAAAUACUUUUGACGAUUAUUGUUACAAAAAAUACAACUAAAUAAGAUACUGCAUAGUAUUUUAAUUAACAUGAAAUCGACAUUGAGGUGUGUAAAGCAAGACUCAAAUCUCUGCUUCCACAUACAUUUCAUUUCUGAGUAGAGAAAUCUAAAAUUUAAAACCAAAAUAUAGACCUAGUGUAUUCUCUAAAAGACACACUUUAGGUGGAACAUAUCAGACUACGAAAAUACAUAUCUUCCAUUCUGUUUAAUAAUUUACU